Uranotaenia lowii is the source of this 328-nucleotide long non-coding RNA. RefSeq lists it as uncharacterized. The transcript has 3 exons. Lineage: Eukaryota; Metazoa; Arthropoda; Insecta; Diptera; Culicidae. The record is from RefSeq and is a predicted model, not a curated record.
AAUCUACAUUGCACAGCUCAGUUUCAAUUCCGAAUCUUUCAAGUUCAGAGCGUUUGGUGAAAAAAAUGACGAACACGUGUUCGCUGGUUUUAAUGCUGAUUGUAGCGAUGUUGAGUUACGUUGCGAUGCGUUAUCCAGAUAAAUACACCGUAAAUUUCCCCGAUGAGUUGUACGAUUACGGUGACCCAAUUCCGAUGCAGUUGCUAGAUGAGGGCUUCAUUUUCAACCCGUUAUUGACUGAACAGUAAGAUGUCAACCCAUCCGAAGAAUCAAAUGGUAAUCAUAUUGAUCUCCUGAUAAAACAUUAAGAUGAAAUAGAAUCGUUUGG